RNAcentral lists this ribosomal RNA (154 nucleotides) under Capra hircus (goat). RNAcentral describes it as "partial small subunit ribosomal RNA". Lineage: Eukaryota; Metazoa; Chordata; Mammalia; Artiodactyla; Bovidae. The record is from RNAcentral.
CGGCGUAAACGUGUUAAGCACUACAUCAAAUAGAGUUAAAUUCUAAUUAAACUGUAAAAAGCCAUAAUUACAACAAAAAUAGAUGACGAAAGUAACCCUACUGCAGCUGAUACACUAUAGCUAAGACCCAAACUGGGAUUAGAUACCCCACAAA